This is a long non-coding RNA of Oncorhynchus keta (chum salmon), 1035 nucleotides long. RefSeq lists it as uncharacterized. NCBI's taxonomy places the organism in Eukaryota, Metazoa, Chordata, Actinopteri, Salmoniformes, Salmonidae. The record is from RefSeq and is a predicted model, not a curated record. The transcript has 6 exons.
ACUGAGGAAGCCAAGCCAAGCCAGUAAAAAAUCCAUAACACAACCUAGGUUGUGAUAAUUACGCUGUUUGCUCUAUAACCCAUUAAAUGCCACAGUGAUAUAUAAUAAGGCCGCGGCAGGAUAAGUUCAUACACAUUUCAUCACAAACCAGAGAGGUGACUCCGAGAUGCUGACCUUCUAGGCAGAGAUCCUCUGUCCAGUCUCACCGUCAACAGUGAAGAGGCGACUCUGGGAUGCUGGCCUUCUAGGCAGAGUUCCUCUGUCCAGUCUCACCGUCAACAGUGAAGAGGCGACUCCGGGAUGCUGUCCUUCUAGGCAGAGUUCCUCUGUCCAGUCUCAACAUCAACAGUGAAGAGGUGACUCCGAGAUGCUGUCCUUCUAGGCACAGUUCCUCUGUCCAGUCUCACCGUCAACAGUGAAGAGGUGACUCCGGGAUGCUGUCCUUCUAGGCAGAGUUCCUCUGUCCAGUCUCAACGUCAACAGUGAAGAGGUGACUCCGAGAUGCUGUCCUUCUAGGCACAGUUCCUCUGUCCAGUCUCACCGUCAACAGUGAAGAGGUGACUCCGGGAUGCUGGCCUUCUAGGCAGAGUUCCUCUGUCCAGUCUCACCGUCAACAGUGAAGAGGUGACUCCGGGAUGCUGUCCCUCUAGGCACAGUUCCUCUGUCCAGUCUCACCGUCAACAGUGAAAAGGUGACUCCGGGAUGCUGUCCUUCUAGGCAGAGUUCCUCUGUCCAGUCUCACCGUCAACAGUGAAGAGGUGACUCCGGGAUGCUGUCCUUCUAGGCAGAGUUCCUCUGUCCAGUCUCACCGUCAACAGUGAAGAGGUGACUCCGGGAUGCUGUCCUUCUAGGCAGAGUUCCUCUGUCCAGUCUCAACGUCAACAGUGAAGAGGUGACUCCGGGAUGCUGUCCUUCUAGGCAGAGUUCCUCUGUCCAGUCUCACCGUCAACAGUGAAGAGGUGACUCCGGGAUGCUGUCCUUCUAGGCAGAGUUCCUCUGUCCAGUCUCACCGUCAACAGUGAAGAGGUGACUCCG